Brassica napus (rape) is the source of this 910-nucleotide long non-coding RNA. RefSeq lists it as uncharacterized. NCBI's taxonomy places the organism in Eukaryota, Viridiplantae, Streptophyta, Magnoliopsida, Brassicales, Brassicaceae. The record is from RefSeq and is a predicted model, not a curated record. The transcript has 5 exons.
UAAGAAACAAUCACCUUCUUCACGUUCUGAAACAAUGGAAUUCCAGGGUUUGUCGUGUUCAUUAUCCUCUGCUCUGAUAAACUGAUGAAGAGUUUCUGGAAAGUUGUGUAAGACGAAUCUUGGUGCCAAUCUCUGGGUCGAGCUAUGUUCGUGUCGGUUUGUCUGCAAUUCAUCUCCUCUGAAACGUUACGGGAUGCAUUAACCAUUCGCCUUUAACACAGCCUUCUUAACUCCCUCGCCUCAUUCAAUGCCUAUUAGAGGUGGUGGAUCUCCACCUAUAAAAGGGUGUAUCUUUCUCAAACACAUAAGAGACAUUAACCCUAGCAUUUUCUCAAUAUUGCAGAGUACUUGGAGUGGAUUUUGUAACGGAUGAUGUCAAAUGAAGGUCAAAAGGGUUUGCUUAUGUCACAUUCUCUUCUAAAGGAGAAGCUGUGAAAGCUUUAUGAGAGCUAAACGGACAGUUUGUAGACGGGCGGCUUUUGAUUCUUAGCACAACAAGAGUUGUAAACCAGAAUCGACCCUUCUUGCAUAUCAAAGACCCCAACACAAUCCGCAGUCAAUCUGCAGUCCCUGGUCUUGGUUUAGGAUUCAUCGAUGAUGGUAUAGUGGUUAUUGGUCAAGAAUAGGUGUGCUCUCCUGAUCCUUCGAAUUGAGUUUCAGUGUGGAAGAACGAGAAUCAACCAUGGUCUCUCAUGAGGUUCCAUUGUCGCGCAAUAGCUCAUAAUUCUUCUGUAUUUUCAAUUUGUAGAAAGUAGCUUAAAAAGUCUAAAAGAUACUUGGCUUGAUGAUAGUAGAGUAACAUGUGAGAAAAUCACUAUAAAAAAUUGUCAACCUUUUUGUUUUUUGAUCGUGAGUACAAGAAUAUAGAAUGUGUAUUAGAAUAUGUUAUUUUUGCUUCGAUUCUUUCAUA